UACAGAGGCCACAAGCGUUAGACGGAAUCACUGGGCUUAAAGCGUGUGUAGGCGGGAUGGUAAGUACCUUGUGAAAUCCCACAGCUUAACUGUGGAAAUGCUUGGUAUACUGCCGUUCUUGAGUCACCUAGGGGCAGCUGUAACAGAUGGUGGAGCGGUGAAAUGCAUAGAUAUCAUCUGGAACGCCAAUGGUGCAGACAAGCUGCUGGGGGUGUACUGACGCUGAGGCACGAAAGCCAGGGGAGCAAACGGG
RNAcentral lists this ribosomal RNA (253 nucleotides) under uncultured bacterium. RNAcentral's name for it is "partial 16S ribosomal RNA". It matches the Rfam family "Bacterial small subunit ribosomal RNA", at positions 524 to 776 of the family's 1533-position model. The record is from RNAcentral.